Molecule: ribosomal RNA, 1049 nt
Filed under: Chryseobacterium sp.
Lineage: Bacteria; Pseudomonadati; Bacteroidota; Flavobacteriia; Flavobacteriales; Weeksellaceae
Description: bacterial SSU rRNA
Rfam family: Bacterial small subunit ribosomal RNA
Source: RNAcentral
GAGCGGUAGAAGAUCUUCGGAUCUUUGAGAGCGGCGUACGGGUGCGGAACACGUGUGCAACCUGCCUUUAUCUGGGGGAUAGCCUUUCGAAAGGAAGAUUAAUACCCCAUAAUAUUUUGAAUGGCAUCAUUUAAAAUUGAAAACUCCGGUGGAUAGAGAUGGGCACGCGCAAGAUUAGAUAGUUGGUGAGGUAACGGCUCACCAAGUCAGUGAUCUUUAGGGGGCCUGAGAGGGUGAUCCCCCACACUGGUACUGAGACACGGACCAGACUCCUACGGGAGGCAGCAGUGAGGAAUAUUGGACAAUGGGUGAGAGCCUGAUCCAGCCAUCCCGCGUGAAGGACGACGGCCCUAUGGGUUGUAAACUUCUUUUGUAUAGGGAUAAACCUUUCCACGUGUGGAAAGCUGAAGGUACUAUACGAAUAAGCACCGGCUAACUCCGUGCCAGCAGCCGCGGUAAUACGGAGGGUGCAAGCGUUAUCCGGAUUUAUUGGGUUUAAAGGGUCCGUAGGCGGGCUCGUAAGUCAGUGGUGAAAUCUCAUAGCUUAACUAUGAAACUGCCAUUGAUACUGCGAGCCUUGAGUAAGGUAGAGGUAGCUGGAAUAAGUAGUGUAGCGGUGAAAUGCAUAGAUAUUACUUAGAACACCAAUUGCGAAGGCAGGUUACCAUGUCUUAACUGACGCUGAUGGACGAAAGCGUGGGGAGCGAACAGGAUUAGAUACCCUGGUAGUCCACGCCGUAAACGAUGCUAACUCGUUUUUGGGGCUUUAUGCUUCAGAGACUAAGCGAAAGUGAUAAGUUAGCCACCUGGGGAGUACGUUCGCAAGAAUGAAACUCAAAGGAAUUGACGGGGGCCCGCACAAGCGGUGGAUUAUGUGGUUUAAUUCGAUGAUACGCGAGGAACCUUACCAAGGCUUAAAUGGGAAUUGACAGGUUUAGAAAUAGACUUUUCUUCGGACAAUUUUCAAGGUGCUGCAUGGUUGUCGUCAGCUCGUGCCGUGAGGUGUUAGGUUAAGUCCUGCAACGAGCGCAACCCCUGUCACUAGUUGC